UGGGGAAUUUUGGACGAAUUGGGCGAAAGCCUGAUCCAGCAAUGCCGCGUGUGUGAAGAAGGCCUUCGGGUUGUAAAGCACUUUUGUCCGGAAAGAAAUCCUUGGCUCUAAUACAGUCGGGGGAUGACGGUACCGGAAGAAUAAGCACCGGCUAACUACGUGCCAGCAGCCGCGGUAAUACGUAGGGUGCAAGCGUUAAUCGGAAUUACUGGGCGUAAAGCGUGCGCAGGCGGUUUGCUAAGACCGAUGUGAAAUCCCCGGGCUCAACCUGGGAACUGCAUUGGUGACUGGCAGGCUAGAGUAUGGCAGAGGGGGGUAGAAUUCCACGUGUAGCAGUGAAAUGCGUAGAGAUGUGGAGGAAUACCGAUGGCGAAGGCAGCCCCUGGCAAGUACUGACGCUCAUGCACGAAAGCGUGGGGAGCAAACGGAUUAAUACCCU
RNAcentral lists this ribosomal RNA (439 nucleotides) under uncultured bacterium. Its description in RNAcentral is "partial 16S ribosomal RNA". It matches the Rfam family "Bacterial small subunit ribosomal RNA", at positions 355 to 786 of the family's 1533-position model. The record is from RNAcentral.